CAGCCGCCGCGGGAAUACGAAGGGGGCUAGCGUUGCUCGGAAUCACUGGGCGUAAAGGGUGCGUAGGCGGGUUUUUAAGUCAGAGGUGAAAUCCUGGAGCUCAACUCCAGAACUGCCUUUGAUACUGAAAGUCUUGAGUAUGGGAGAGGUGAGUGGAACUGCGAGUGUAGAGGUGAAAUUCGUAGAUAUUGGGAAGAACACCAGUGGCGAAGGCGGCUCACUGGACCGACACUGACGCUGAGGCGCGAAAGCGUGGGGAGCAAACAGGAUUAGAGACCCGGGUAGUCCCUGUCUCUUAUAC
Molecule: ribosomal RNA, 301 nt
Filed under: uncultured bacterium
Lineage: Bacteria
Description: partial 16S ribosomal RNA
Rfam family: Bacterial small subunit ribosomal RNA
Source: RNAcentral